Molecule: ribosomal RNA, 253 nt
Filed under: uncultured bacterium
Lineage: Bacteria
Description: partial 16S ribosomal RNA
Rfam family: Bacterial small subunit ribosomal RNA
Source: RNAcentral
UACGUAGGGUGCAAGCGUUAAUCGGAAUUACUGGGCGUAAAGCGUGCGCAGGCGGUUAUGCAAGACAGAUGUGAAAUCCCCGGGCUCAACCUGGGAACUGCAUUUGUGACUACAUGGCUAGAGUACGGUAGAGGGGGAUGGAAUUCCGCGUGUAGCAGUGAAAUGCGUAGAUAUGCGGAGGAACACCGAUGGCGAAGGCAAUCCCCUGGGCCUGUACUGACGCUCAGGCACGAAAGCGUGGGGAGCAAACAGG